ACGAACGCUGGCGGCGUGCUUAACACAUGCAAGUCGAACGGAAAGGCCCUGCUUUUGUGGGGUGCUCGAGUGGCGAACGUUUGAUUAACACGUGAGUAACCUGCCCUUGACUUUGUGAUAACUUCAGGAAACUGGGGCUAAUACCGGAUAGGAGCUCCUGCUGCAUGGUGGGGGUUGGAAAGUUUCGGCGGUUGGGGGUGGACUCGCGGCUUAUCAGCUUGUUGGUGGGGUAGUGGCUUACCAAGGCUUUGACGGGUAGCCGGCCUGAGAGGGUGACCGGCGACAUUGGGACUGAGAUACGGACCAGAGACAUACGGGAGGCAGAAGAGGGGAAUAUUGCACAAUGGGAGGAAGACUGAUGCAGCAAAGACGCGAGCGGGAUGACGGCAUUCGGGUUGUAAAAAGAUUUAGGGUGAGAGGAAGAGUGAGUGACGGUAAUGGGUAAAGAAGCACCGGCUAACUACGUG
Molecule: ribosomal RNA, 467 nt
Filed under: uncultured bacterium
Lineage: Bacteria
Description: partial 16S ribosomal RNA
Rfam family: Bacterial small subunit ribosomal RNA
Source: RNAcentral